This 404-nucleotide long non-coding RNA is filed under the name Nicotiana benthamiana. RNAcentral's name for it is "long non-coding RNA (NBEN_LNC027994)". Lineage: Eukaryota; Viridiplantae; Streptophyta; Magnoliopsida; Solanales; Solanaceae. The record is from RNAcentral.
UCCAUCAUGAUGGUGAUCAUGCUCCAGCUCCUUCUUCAAGUCGUCCACCCCGUCGUGCUCGUUCGUCCCAAGAGCCUACUCUCCAAACCAUAUCCGACUAGCUUGCUCAACUCACUCAUGAGAUCCAUGGAUACUUUGAUCAUGUCAAUUAUCCAUAUGCAGCUCUCGUUCCUUUUAAAGCAGCGCCGGAUAACGAGGCGGACAACGACGGAAAUAAAUAAAUUUUUUGUGUUUUGUGUGGUUUUUGCUGUUGUUCUCUUUAGUUCCCAUUGAUUUACCCUUUUUUCCCAAUAAAUAAACCUUGUUUAUUUCAUCUUUUUGCAUCUUUCCUUACUAUUUUUUUUGCUAAUGGCAAAAGGGGGAAGAAAACGUAAUAUCGGGUAUGCACCACCUCUUAAUUCAUU